AAAUAAGAAGAGAAAUGUAGAAGAUAUCCAGAUAUACUCAGUAUCUGCCCAGACCACUGCACUGAAUUGCUUCCCCUUUGGAGAACAAUCCACCUGCAGACUGCGAAUGCCUUGGAAUGGUGGGAGAUGCAGGCUGAUCCACACAUAGCUCAAGCUCUCCUAAGGCUGGGUUCCUGGAUGUACUGACUGAAAGCACCUGUCCCUGGAAGCAUCUUGAAGAGGCUGUUUGCUGUGGCUUUCCUGACCAUCUCAGCUCUUUGGAAUGGACCAGGAUGGGCGGGGGAGUGCAUGGAAAGGAGAUCGAGCUUAUUCCUGUGUCAUUACUGAUCCCCCUGCUUAUUGCCUACACACAACAGAAACCUGGAUCCACCUGAAGCCUUCCAUGAAGCCAAAGGGGCUCAUGCAACUCAGAACAACUAACAAGACCCAUAGAAAGACUGGAUGGAUAGUUCCAAGUCCAAGGCCAGCGUCCUCAUUGCUCCACUGAAACAUCUGGUGAUGGCAUAAUCACCAGCUGUGUAACAGUCCCCGAGAAACAAGCUUCAUGAUGCAGUCAUCUUCCGUUCCAGCAGUGUGCCCAUAAGGUGCAAAACCAAGAAGCAGUUGGAUUUCAUGAAUGAUUGCUGCUGGAGAAAGGGGUUGGUGCUGCCUCUUGAUUCUCUACUGAAGGCUAAAUUAUAU
Long non-coding RNA from Dromaius novaehollandiae (emu), 681 nucleotides. RefSeq lists it as uncharacterized. The transcript is spliced from 3 exons. The record is from RefSeq and is a predicted model, not a curated record. NCBI's taxonomy places the organism in Eukaryota, Metazoa, Chordata, Aves, Casuariiformes, Dromaiidae.